UCCGUCAGCGCUGGACGCGCGGACCGGAGCGCCCAAAGCGGACAAUACCUCGUGGGGGACGCGGUCUCUUUCUGCUCGGCUCGGUUGGGACUAAGGCUGUUGCCGGGGUGAAAAUCCCGCAACAGAUGGCGCUAGAGGAAGGGCCAGCCUCCUCUCUCCAUUGACUACCCUCCAGGAUUGUGGGGGCCCGUUGGGGUAAAA
Molecule: long non-coding RNA, 201 nt
Filed under: Phoenix dactylifera (date palm)
Lineage: Eukaryota; Viridiplantae; Streptophyta; Magnoliopsida; Arecales; Arecaceae
Description: long non-coding RNA (PDAC_LNC008195)
Source: RNAcentral